This 726-nucleotide long non-coding RNA is filed under the name Gallus gallus (chicken). RNAcentral's name for it is "lncRNA (ENSGALG00010002804.1)". Lineage: Eukaryota; Metazoa; Chordata; Aves; Galliformes; Phasianidae. The record is from RNAcentral.
CCGCGCUCCCCCCGCGCCGCCGCCCGGCCUCACGGGCCGGCUCCGCCGCUUCCGCCUUCCCCAUGCUGCCGGCGGCGGCGGCGGUCAGAGGGCAGAGGGCAGGGUUCACCCCCUCCCCGCGGCCGGCGGGCGGGCGGUGCUUCCCUUCCUUUCCCCUUCCCUUUUCCCCGGCGGCGGUGCCCGGCCGGGGCGGAAGGGAACGGCCGGCAUUGGGCUGGAUUCCGCCUGAGCGCCGCAGCUCCCUCCGUUCAGCGCUUUGUAGAGCGGAGGGAGAGCUCUGCGCCGCGGGAGUAUUCUUCGUUGCUUGAAGUCUAGACUGAGCAUGAUGCACUCGUCAAAUCAAAACAAGAAAUGCAUUUUAGGAAGGAAUAGGAAAUGGACUGGCAGUGUGCAAGAAGGUGCAUUACCUAUCGUUAAUGGAGAGAAAGUAUGGGAAGCUGGGAGCACCAACACUAGAGAACAAACAGAGUGCAAAUAAACACUGUUUUGAGACCAGCAACUCCAGCUUUGUUGGCUUUUCUUCAAUGUUCUGGCCCUUCUUUUCUAGCUGUCUUCUUCUAGUCCUACACAGGUAGAGAGAGGCAAGGAAAAGGACAAUGCAGAGAGUGAUACAGGAGCUACAAGACUUCCUCACGGAGAAAUACUUCUUAUUGUGAUGUAGCUCUAAGAAUACGCUUUGGAAUUCAGCUUCAAAAGUAAUAUUCUGAGCUCAAAAAUCUUCUGAAA